CCUACGGGUGGCAGCAGUAGGGAAUAUUGCUCAAUGGGGGAAACCCUGAAGCAGCAACGCCGCGUGGAGGACGAAGGCUCUCGGAGUGGAAACUUCUUUUGGUAGCGAGGAUAAUGACGUUAUGUCACGGAUAAGCACCGUCUAACUCCGUGCCAGCAGCCGCGGUAAUACGGAGGCUGCAGGCGUUACUCGGAAUCACUGGGCGUAAAGCGCGCGUAGGCGGGUUAGCAAGUCAGAGGUGAAAUACUAGUGCUUAACCAUAGAGCUGCAUUUGAAACUGUUAGUCUAGAGUAUGGGAGAGGUAGGUGGAAUGCUUGGUGUAGCGGUAAAAUUCGUAGAGAUCA
This 344-nucleotide ribosomal RNA is filed under the name uncultured bacterium. RNAcentral's name for it is "partial 16S ribosomal RNA". It matches the Rfam family "Bacterial small subunit ribosomal RNA", at positions 338 to 699 of the family's 1533-position model. The record is from RNAcentral.